GAUGAACGCUAGCGGGAGGCCUAACACAUGCAAGCCGAGCGGUAUUUGUUCUUCGGAACAGAGAGAGCGGCGCACGGGUGCGGAACACGUGUGCAACCUGCCUUUAUCUGGGGGAUAGCCUUUCGAAAGGAAGAUUAAUACCCCAUAAUAUAUUGAGUGGCAUCACUUGAUAUUGAAAAUUCCGGUGGAUAGAGAUGGGCACGCGCAAGAUUAGAUAGUUGGUGAGGUAACGGCUCACCAAGUCAAUGAUCUUUAGGGGGCCUGAGAGGGUGAUCCCCCACACUGGUACUGAGACACGGACCAGACUCCUACGGGAGGCAGCAGUGAGGAAUAUUGGACAAUGGGUUAGCGCCUGAUCCAGCCAUCCCGCGUGAAGGACGACGGCCCUAUGGGUUGUAAACUUCUUUUGUAUAGGGAUAAACCUACUCUCGUGAGAGUAGCUGAAGGUACUAUACGAAUAAGCACCGGCUAACUCCGUG
RNAcentral lists this ribosomal RNA (479 nucleotides) under uncultured bacterium. RNAcentral's name for it is "partial 16S ribosomal RNA". It matches the Rfam family "Bacterial small subunit ribosomal RNA", at positions 28 to 507 of the family's 1533-position model. The record is from RNAcentral.